CGUGUCAACGGUAGCGGACCGAAGAGAGCAUAAGGAGUUGACACGUUGCACAAA
This 54-nucleotide small RNA is filed under the name Alteribacillus bidgolensis. RNAcentral's name for it is "Bacillus sp. P4B(2010) Bacillus-plasmid RNA". It matches the Rfam family "Bacillus-plasmid RNA". The record is from Rfam by way of RNAcentral. Lineage: Bacteria; Bacillati; Bacillota; Bacilli; Caryophanales; Bacillaceae.